RNAcentral lists this unclassified non-coding RNA (329 nucleotides) under soil metagenome. RNAcentral describes it as "partial contains 5.8S ribosomal RNA, internal transcribed spacer 2, and large subunit ribosomal RNA". The stretch from base 1 to 120 matches the Rfam family "5.8S ribosomal RNA", at positions 35 to 154 of the family's 154-position model. The record is from RNAcentral.
GAUGAAGAACGCAGCGAAAUGCGAUAAGUAAUGUGAAUUGCAGAAUUCAGUGAAUCAUCGAAUCUUUGAACGCACAUUGCGCCCCUUGGUAUUCCGGGGGGCAUGCCUGUUCGAGCGUCAUUUCAACCCUCAAGCUUCUGCUUGGUCUUGGGCCGUGCCGGCAACGGCUGGCCUUAAAACUAGUGGCGGUGCCAUCGAGCUCUACGCGUAGUAAUUCUAUCUCGCGUCUGGGCUUCGGUGGACGCUGGCCAGCAACCCCCAAUUUUCUAUGGUUGACCUCGGAUCAGGUAGGGAUACCCGCUGAACUUAAGCAUAUCAAUAAGCGGAGG